ACAAGAGAUGCAUUUCUUCUGGACCUGACAGUGCAACGUAUACACCUACAACUGUUCUGGUCUGCUGUUAAAUGCCAAAGGAAGAAGAGCGGUAAAUGUCAUUCUACAGCUUCAAUGACGGUGCAGAGACACCAAGAUUCGGAAGACCUGGAAUUGCUGACCAAUCGGAGCAGACUGGGCUUUUACAAGAGGAGGGCUUUAAGAGACUAAAACAGAGCAUUUCAGACAGAAAGAUUACGGAAAAAGUACUGGAUGAUUUUCAUAAAACUUGGUGAAAGGAUGCAGAACGGGCCAAGGAAGAUCUCAUUACAUUUUGGGAGCCUGGUCUCACACUGAAGUCGUCGAAAUCCCACACUUGGACACUGAUGUGUGGCAUCAGAAACCAACGAAAAAAAUCCAUCCUUUAACAUCGGCAUCAGCUGGACAAGGAUGAAAGUUAAG
Epinephelus moara (kelp grouper) is the source of this 441-nucleotide long non-coding RNA. RefSeq lists it as uncharacterized. The record is from RefSeq and is a predicted model, not a curated record. Lineage: Eukaryota; Metazoa; Chordata; Actinopteri; Perciformes; Serranidae. The transcript is spliced from 4 exons.